Molecule: ribosomal RNA, 253 nt
Filed under: uncultured bacterium
Lineage: Bacteria
Description: partial 16S ribosomal RNA
Rfam family: Bacterial small subunit ribosomal RNA
Source: RNAcentral
UACGUAGGGUGCGAGCGUUGUCCGGAAUUAUUGGGCGUAAAGGGCUCGUAGGCGGUUUGUCGCGUCGGGAGUGAAAACCCAGGGCUUAACUCUGGGCUUGCUUUCGAUACGGGCAGACUAGAGGCAUGCAGGGGAGAACGGAAUUCCUGGUGUAGCGGUGAAAUGCGCAGAUAUCAGGAGGAACACCGGUGGCGAAGGCGGUUCUCUGGGCCUUACCUGACGCUGAGGAGCGAAAGCGUGGGGAGCAAACAGG